UAGGGANNCUUCGGCAAUGGGGGCAACCCUGACCGAGCAACGCCGCGUGAGUGAAGAAGGUUUUCGGAUCGUAAAGCUCUGUUGUAAGUCAAGAACGAGUGUGAGAGUGGAAAGUUCACACUGUGACGGUAGCUUACCAGAAAGGGACGGCUAACUACGUGCCAGCAGCCGCGGUAAUACGUAGGUCCCGAGCGUUGUCCGGAUUUAUUGGGCGUAAAGCGAGCGCAGGCGGUUUGAUAAGUCUGAAGUUAAAGGCUGUGGCUCAACCAUAGUUCGCUUUGGAAACUGUCAAACUUGAGUGCAGAAGGGGAGAGUGGAAUUCCAUGUGUAGCGGUGAAAUGCGUAGAUAUAUGGAGGAACACCGGUGGCGAAAGCGGCUCUCUGGUCUGUAACUGACGCUGAGGCUCGAAAGCGUGGGGAGCGAACAGGAUUAGAUACCCUGGUAGUCCACGCCGUNNNGAUGAGUGCUAGGUGUUGNAUCCUUUCCGGGAUUCANUGCCNCAGCUAANGCNNUAANCACUCCGCCUGGGGAGUACNANCNCNAGGUU
This 548-nucleotide ribosomal RNA is filed under the name uncultured bacterium. Its description in RNAcentral is "partial 16S ribosomal RNA". It matches the Rfam family "Bacterial small subunit ribosomal RNA", at positions 355 to 895 of the family's 1533-position model. The record is from RNAcentral.